RNAcentral lists this ribosomal RNA (849 nucleotides) under uncultured bacterium. RNAcentral's name for it is "bacterial SSU rRNA". It matches the Rfam family "Bacterial small subunit ribosomal RNA", at positions 9 to 849 of the family's 1533-position model. The record is from RNAcentral.
GAGUUUGAUCAUGGCUCAGAUUGAACGCUGGCGGCAGGCCUAACACAUGCAAGUCGAGCGGCAGCACGGGGAGCUUGCUCCCUGGUGGCGAGCGGCGGACGGGUGAGUAAUGCAUGGGAAUCUGCCCGGUAGUGGGGGAUAACCCGGGGAAACCCGGGCUAAUACCGCAUACGUCCUACGGGAGAAAGCAGGGGAUCUUCGGACCUUGCGCUAUCGGAUGAGCCCAUGUCGGAUUAGCUUGCUGGUGAGGUAACGGCUCACCAGGGCGACGAUCCGUAGCUGGUCUGAGAGGAUGAUCAGCCACACCGGGACUGAGACACGGCCCGGACUCCUACGGGAGGCAGCAGUGGGGAAUAUUGGACAAUGGGGGAAACCCUGAUCCAGCCAUGCCGCGUGUGUGAAGAAGGCUUUCGGGUUGUAAAGCACUUUCAGCGGGGAAGAAGGCAUGGCGGCUAAUACCCGCCAUGAAGGACAUCACCCGCAGAAGAAGCACCGGCUAACUCCGUGCCAGCAGCCGCGGUAAUACGGAGGGUGCAAGCGUUAAUCGGAAUUACUGGGCGUAAAGGGCGCGUAGGCGGCCUGCCAAGCCGGAUGUGAAAGCCCCGGGCUCAACCCGGGAACGGCAUUCGGAACUGGCAGGCUAGAGUGCAGGAGAGGAAGGUGGAAUUCCCGGUGUAGCGGUGAAAUGCGUAGAGAUCGGGAGGAAUACCAGUGGCGAAGGCGGCCUUCUGGACUGACACUGACGCUGAGGCGCGAAAGCGUGGGUAGCAAACAGGAUUAGAUACCCUGGUAGUCCACGCCGUAAACGAUGUCGACCAGCCGUUGGACCCCUUGAGGGUCUGGUGGCGC